CAAUAGCGUAUAUUUAAGUUGUUGCAGUUAAAAAGCUCGUAGUUGGAUUUCGGGUGUGAACGACCGGUCCGUCUUUGAUGUGUACUGGUUGGUUGCGCCUUAUUGUCGAGGACGUGGUUCUAGCUUUCAUUAGCCGGGACACGGAGUCGGCAGCGUUACUUUGAGAAAAUUAGAGUGUUCAAAGCAGGCUAUCGCUCUGAAUACUACAGCAUGGAAUAACACGAUAGGACUCCGAGCCUAUUCUGUUGGUCUUCGGGACCGGAGUAAUGAUUAAGAGGGACAGUUGGGGGCAUUCGUAGUCCGAUGUCAGAGGUGAAAUUCUUGGAUUAUCGGAAGACGAACAUCUGCGAAAGCAUUUGCCAAGGAUGUUUUCAUUAA
Molecule: ribosomal RNA, 378 nt
Filed under: uncultured eukaryote
Lineage: Eukaryota
Description: partial 18S ribosomal RNA
Rfam family: Eukaryotic small subunit ribosomal RNA
Source: RNAcentral